RNAcentral lists this ribosomal RNA (253 nucleotides) under uncultured bacterium. RNAcentral's name for it is "partial 16S ribosomal RNA". It matches the Rfam family "Bacterial small subunit ribosomal RNA", at positions 524 to 776 of the family's 1533-position model. The record is from RNAcentral.
UACGUAGGGUGCAAGCGUUGUCCGGAAUUAUUGGGCGUAAAGAGCUUGUAGGCGGUUUGUCGGGUCUGCUGUGAAAUUUCGGGGCUCAACCCCGAACUUGCAGUGGGUACGGGCAGACUAGAGUGUGGUAGGGGAGACUGGAAUUCCUGGUGUAGCGGUGAAAUGCGCAGAUAUCAGGAGGAACACCGAUGGCGAAGGCAGGUCUCUGGGCCAUAACUGACGCUGAGAAGCGAAAGCAUGGGGAGCGAACAGG